GCAAGUCGAGCGCACUCUUCGGAGUGAGCGGCGGACGGGUUAGUAACGCGUGGGAACAUACCCUUUUCUAUGGAAUAGCCUCGGGAAACUGAGAGUAAUACCAUAUACGCCCUUCGGGGGAAAGAUUUAUCGGGAAUGGAUUGGCCCGCGUUAGAUUAGAUAGUUGGUGGGGUAAUGGCCUACCAAGUCUACGAUCUAUAGCUGGUUUUAGAGGACGAUC
RNAcentral lists this ribosomal RNA (220 nucleotides) under uncultured bacterium. RNAcentral describes it as "partial 16S ribosomal RNA". It matches the Rfam family "Bacterial small subunit ribosomal RNA", at positions 57 to 305 of the family's 1533-position model. The record is from RNAcentral.